UGGGGAAUAUUGCGCAAUGGGGGGAACCCUGACGCAGCCAUGNCGCGUGAAUGAAGAAGGCCUUAGGGUUGUAAAGUUCUUUCGGUAUUGAGGAAGGUUGAUGUGUUAAUAGCACAUCAAAUUGACGUUAAAUACAGAAGAAGCACCGGCUAACUCCGUGCCAGCAGCCGCGGUAAUACGGAGGGUGCGAGCGUUAAUCGGAAUAACUGGGCGUAAAGGGCACGCAGGCGGUUAUUUAAGUGAGGUGUGAAAGCCCCGGGCUUAACCUGGGAAUUGCAUUUCAGACUGGGUAACUAGAGUACUUUAGGGAGGGGUAGAAUUCCACGUGUAGCGGUGAAAUGCGUAGAGAUGUGGAGGAAUACCGAAGGCGAAGCNAGCCCCUUGGGAAUGUACUGACGCUCAUGUGCGAAAGCGUGGGGAGCAAACAGGAUUAGAUACCCUGGUAGUCCACGCUGUAAACGCUGUCGAUUUGGGGGUUGGGGUUUAACUCUGGCGCCCGUAGCUAACGUGAUAAAUCGACCGCCUGGGGAGUACGGCCGCAAGNUUA
This 547-nucleotide ribosomal RNA is filed under the name uncultured bacterium. RNAcentral describes it as "bacterial SSU rRNA". It matches the Rfam family "Bacterial small subunit ribosomal RNA", at positions 355 to 896 of the family's 1533-position model. The record is from RNAcentral.